GAACGGCCACACUGGGACUGAGACACGGCCCAGACUCCUACGGGAGGCAGCAGUGGGGAAUAUUGCACAAUGGGCGAAAGCCUGAUGCAGCGACGCCGCGUGAGGGAUGAAGGCCUUCGGGUUGUAAACCUCUUUCAGCAGGGGAGAAGCGAAAGUGACGGUACCUGCAGAAGAAGCACCGGCUAACUACGUGCCAGCAGCCGCGGUAAUACGUAGGGUGCGAGCGUUGUCCGGAAUUAUUGGGCGUAAAGAGCUUGUAGGCGGUUUGUCGCGUCUGCUGUGAAAAUCCAGGGCUUAACCCUGGACGUGCAGUGGGUACGGGCAGGCUAGAGUGUGGUAGGGGAGACUGGAAUUCCUGGUGUAGCGGUGAAAUGCGCAGAUAUCAGGAGGAACACCGAUGGCGAAGGCAGGUCUCUGGGCCAUUACUGACGCUGAGAAGCGAAAGCAUGGGUAGCGAACAGGAUUAGAUACCCUGGUAGUCCAUGCCGUAAACGUUGGGCGCUGGGUGUGGGGUCCAUUCCACGGAUUCUGCGCCGUAGCUAACGCAUUAAGCGCCCCGCCUGGGGAGUACGGCCGCAAGGCUAAAACUCAAAGGAAUUGACGGGGGCCCGCACAAGCGGCGGAGCAUGCGGAUUAAUUCGAUGCAACGCGAAGAACCUUACCAAGGCUUGACAUACACCGGAAAAGUGCAGAGAUGUACUCCCCUUUUUGGUCGGUGUACAGGUGGUGCAUGGUUGUCGUCAGCUCGUGUCGUGAGAUGUUGGGUUAAGUCCCGCAACGAGCGCAACCCUCGUCGCAUGUUGCCAGCACGUAAUGGUGGGGACUCAUGUGAGACUGCCGGGGUCAACUCGGAGGAAGGUGGGGAUGACGUCAAAUCAUCAUGCCCCUUAUGUCUUGGGCUUCACGCAUGCUACAAUGGCCGGUACAGAGUGCUGCGAUACCGUGAGGUGGAGCGAAUCACUUAAAGCCGGUCUCAGUUCGGAUUGGGGUCUGCAACUCGACCCCAUGAAGUCGGAGUCGCUAGUAAUCGCAGAUCAGCAACGCUGCGGUGAAUACGUUCCCGGGCCUUGUACACACCGCCCGUCAAGUCACGAAAGUUGGUAACACCCGAAGCCGGUGGCCUAACCCUUGUGGGGGGAGCCGUCGAAGGUGGGACUGGCGAUUGGGACUAAGUCGUAACAAGGUAGCCGUACCGGAAGGUGCGGCUG
Molecule: ribosomal RNA, 1208 nt
Filed under: Dermatophilus congolensis DSM 44180 = NBRC 105199
Lineage: Bacteria; Bacillati; Actinomycetota; Actinomycetes; Micrococcales; Dermatophilaceae
Description: bacterial SSU rRNA
Rfam family: Bacterial small subunit ribosomal RNA
Source: RNAcentral